RNAcentral lists this ribosomal RNA (429 nucleotides) under Chloroflexota bacterium. RNAcentral describes it as "Chloroflexi bacterium partial 16S ribosomal RNA". It matches the Rfam family "Bacterial small subunit ribosomal RNA", at positions 355 to 776 of the family's 1533-position model. The record is from RNAcentral. Lineage: Bacteria; Bacillati; Chloroflexota.
UGGGGAAUAUUGCGCAAUGGGCGCAAGCCUGAUGCAGCCAUGCCGCGUGUAUGAAGAAGGCCUUCGGGUUGUAAAGUACUUUCAGUCGGGAGGAAGGUGUCAAGGUUAAUAACCUUGGCAAUUGACGUUACCGACAGAAGAAGCACCGGCUAACUCCGUGCCAGCAGCCGCGGUAAUACGGAGGGUGCAAGCGUUAAUCGGAAUUACUGGGCGUAAAGCGCACGCAGGCGGUUGAUUGAGUCAGAUGUGAAAUCCCCGGGCUUAACCCGGGAAUUGCAUCUGAUACUGGUCAGCUAGAGUCUUGUAGAGGGGGGUAGAAUUCCAUGUGUAGCGGUGAAAUGCGUAGAGAUGUGGAGGAAUACCGGUGGCGAAGGCGGCCCCCUGGACAAAGACUGACGCUCAGGUGCGAAAGCGUGGGGAGCAAACAGG